GAUGAAGAACGUAGCGAAAUGCGAUAAGUAGUGUGAAUUGCAGAAUUCAGUGAAUCAUCGAAUCUUUGAACGCACAUUGCGCCCGCCAGUAUUCUGGAGGGCAUGCCUGUUCGAGCGUCAUUUCAACCAUCAAGCCCCAGGCUUGUGUUGGAGCCCUGCGGCUGCCGCAGCCUCCCAAAACCAGUGGCGGGCUCGCUAUCACACCGAGUGCAGUAGUUUACUCUUCGCUCAGGGCGUGUGGCGGGUGCUAGCCGUAAAACCCCCAACUUCUCAAGGUUGACCUCGGAUCAGGUAGGAAUACCCGCUGAACUUAAGCAUAUCAAUAAGCGGAGGA
This 334-nucleotide unclassified non-coding RNA is filed under the name soil metagenome. RNAcentral's name for it is "partial contains 5.8S ribosomal RNA, internal transcribed spacer 2, and large subunit ribosomal RNA". The stretch from base 1 to 120 matches the Rfam family "5.8S ribosomal RNA", at positions 35 to 154 of the family's 154-position model. The record is from RNAcentral.